UACGUAGGGUGCGAGCGUUAAUCGGAAUUAUCGGGCGUAAAGCGUGCGCAGGCGGUUAUAUAAGUCAGAUGUGAAAUCCCCGGGCUCAACCUGGGACCUGCAUUCGAGACUGUAUAGCUAGAGUACGGUAGAGGGUGAUGGAAUUCCGCGUGUAGCAGUGAAAUGCGUAGAUAUGCGGAGGAACACCGAUGGCGAAGGCAAUCCCCUGGUCCUGUACUGACGCUCAUGCACGAAAGCGUGGGGAGCAAACAGG
RNAcentral lists this ribosomal RNA (253 nucleotides) under uncultured bacterium. RNAcentral's name for it is "partial 16S ribosomal RNA". It matches the Rfam family "Bacterial small subunit ribosomal RNA", at positions 524 to 776 of the family's 1533-position model. The record is from RNAcentral.